AGGGGGAGCGCCGGAUCCUGGGCUGUGUCCCCUGGCUCCCUGAGUUCCAGGACCUGCGCCGCUGGGAUUGCACUCAGGUGGCCGCGCAGCCCACU
This 95-nucleotide microRNA precursor is filed under the name Canis lupus dingo (dingo). RNAcentral's name for it is "mir-8799 microRNA precursor family". It matches the Rfam family "mir-8799 microRNA precursor family". Lineage: Eukaryota; Metazoa; Chordata; Mammalia; Carnivora; Canidae. The record is from Rfam by way of RNAcentral.